CAGUAGCCGCGGUAAUACGGAGGGGGCUAGCGUUGUUCGGAAUUACUGGGCGUAAAGCGCACGUAGGCGGCUUUGUAAGUUAGAGGUGAAAGCCCGGAGCUCAACUCCGGAAUUGCCUUUAAGACUGCAGAGCUAGCAGGUGAGAGAGGUGAGUGGAAUUCCGAGUGUAGAGGUGAAAUUCGUAGAUAUUCGGAAGAACACCAGUGGCGAAGGCGGCAACCUGGCUCAUUACUGACGCUGAGGCGCGAAAGCGUGGGGAGCAAACAGGAUUAGAUACCCGCGUAGUCCCUGUCUCUUAUAC
This 301-nucleotide ribosomal RNA is filed under the name uncultured bacterium. RNAcentral describes it as "partial 16S ribosomal RNA". It matches the Rfam family "Bacterial small subunit ribosomal RNA", at positions 509 to 807 of the family's 1533-position model. The record is from RNAcentral.